RNAcentral lists this ribosomal RNA (1358 nucleotides) under Gerynassa sp. NLG-2014. Its description in RNAcentral is "partial 16S ribosomal RNA". The stretch from base 1 to 365 matches the Rfam family "Microsporidia small subunit ribosomal RNA", at positions 795 to 1311 of the family's 1311-position model. The record is from RNAcentral. Lineage: Eukaryota; Metazoa; Arthropoda; Insecta; Coleoptera; Curculionidae.
AUUUUAGUCUAUUCAGAGGAACCUGCCCUAUAAUUGAUGAUCCACGAUUUAUUCAACUUGUUCUUUUAGUUUGCAUAUCGCCGUAGUUUGAAUAUUUUUAAAAAAUGUUAAUGUUCAAGAUUUUUUUAAUAAAAUAAAUCAGGUCAAGAUGUAGCUUAUGGGCAAGAAGAGGUGGGUUACAAUAAAUUUAUUUAAAUGGAUUAAUAAAUGAGAUUUUAUUAUGAAGGUGGAUUUGAAGGUAAUUUUAUUUAAAUAAGUAAAAUGAUUUUAGCUCUAAAAUAUGUACAUAUCGCCCGUCACUUUCAUUACAAAAUGGAAUAAGUCGUAACAAAGUAGGGGUACUGGAAAGUGUCCCUAGAAUGGCAAAUUAGAGCUUGAUUAAAGCAUUUUAGUUACAUUAAAAAGUUUAUUGUAAAUUCAAUAUAAUUUGAAUAUAAUUUAUUAUUAGUAAUUUUUGUUUAAGUUUAUAUUUAAAAUAAGAAUAUUUUUGUUUUAUUAAUUUUUAUGAAUAAAUUUAUUUAAUUAUAGUGAAAUAGUAUUGUGAAAGAAUUAAAAUUAUAUUUUUAAAAGAAAAAUUUAAUUUUUGUACCUUGUGUAUCAGGGUUUAUUAAAUAUAAAUUAAAAAUUUAAUUUUCUCGAAUUAAUAAGGGCUAUAAUUAUAUAUUUUUUUUUGUUGAAUAAAAAUUAUUAAUAUAAUUAUAGAAAUGAAAUAUUAUUCGAUUAUUAAUAUAUCUAGUUUUUAAAGAAAAAAAUUUAAUUUUUUUAUUAAAUUAAUAUAAAACUAAUUUAUUAGUUUUAUACUAUUAAUAUUUAAUAUCUUAAGGGAUGAGCUUUAAGAUAAAAAUUUUUAAAAUAUAUUAAAUUUUAAGUAUGUAGAAUUGUAAGUUUUUAUCAUUAAAAGUGUGUUGUAACUUUCUUGAGUUUAAAUAUAAUUUAUAUAUAUAUUUUAAAAUAAUUUAUUUAAAUGAAAAUUUUAAUUUAAAAAAUUUUGUAAUAAUGAUAAAAUUAGUAUAUAAAAUAUUGUUAAAUAUUUAUUUAUAAUAUUAAGGUUAAAUAAAGGAACUCGGCAAAUAUAUUUUUCACCUGUUUAUUAAAAACAUGGCCUUUUGAUAAUAAUUUAAGGUCUGGCCUGCCCACUGAGGAUUUAAAUGGCCGCGGUAUUUUGACCGUGCAAAGGUAGCAUAAUCAUUAGUUUUUUAAUUGAAAGCUGGAAUGAAAGGUUGGAUGAGAAAAUAACUGUCUCUAUUUAAUUUUUUUUAGAAAUUUAUUUUUAAGUUAAAAAGCUUAAAUAUAAUUUGAAGACGAGAAGACCCUAUAGAGUUUUAUUAUUAUUAAGUAAUAAAAUUUUUAGUAUUUAC